UUACAGAGACCAUUGAUUAAG
This 21-nucleotide microRNA is filed under the name Populus tomentosa. RNAcentral's name for it is "Pto-miR475d-3p". Lineage: Eukaryota; Viridiplantae; Streptophyta; Magnoliopsida; Malpighiales; Salicaceae. The record is from RNAcentral.